RNAcentral lists this ribosomal RNA (534 nucleotides) under uncultured Lactococcus sp. RNAcentral's name for it is "bacterial SSU rRNA". It matches the Rfam family "Bacterial small subunit ribosomal RNA", at positions 953 to 1487 of the family's 1533-position model. Lineage: Bacteria; Bacillati; Bacillota; Bacilli; Lactobacillales; Streptococcaceae. The record is from RNAcentral.
GAAGCAACGCGAAGAACCNUACCAGGUCUUGACAUACUCGUGCUAUUCCUAGAGAUAGGAAGUUCCUUCGGGACACGGGAUACAGGUGGUGCAUGGUUGUCGUCAGCUCGUGUCGUGAGAUGUUGGGUUAAGUCCCGCAACGAGCGCAACCCUUAUUGUUAGUUGCCAUCAUUAAGUUGGGCACUCUAGCGAGACUGCCGGUAAUAAACCGGAGGAAGGUGGGGAUGACGUCAAAUCAUCAUGCCCCUUAUGACCUGGGCUACACACGUGCUACAAUGGUUGGUACAACGAGUCGCAAGACAGUGAUGUCAAGCUAAUCUCUUAAAGCCAAUCUCAGUUCGGAUUGUAGGCUGCAACUCGCCUACAUGAAGUCGGAAUCGCUAGUAAUCGCGGAUCAGCACGCCGCGGUGAAUACGUUCCCGGGCCUUGUACACACCGCCCGUCACACCACGAGAGUUUGUAAUACCCAAAGCCGGUGAGCUAACCUUUUAGGAGGCAGCCGUCUAAGGUAGGAUAGAUGAUUGGGGUGAAGUC